GCGGCGGACGGGUGAGUAACACGUGGGUAACCUGCCCAUAAGACUGGGAUAACUCCGGGAAACCGGGGCUAAUACCGGAUAACAUUUUGAACCGCAUGGUUCGAAAUUGAAAGGCGGCUUCGGCUGUCACUUAUGGAUGGACCCGCGUCGCAUUAGCUAGUUGGUGAGGUAACGGCUCACCAAGGCAACGAUGCGUAGCCGACCUGAGAGGGUGAUCGGCCACACUGGGACUGAGACACGGCCCAGACUCCUACGGGAGGCAGCAGUAGGGAAUCUUCCGCAAUGGACGAAAGUCUGACGGAGCAACGCCGCGUGAGUGAUGAAGGCUUUCGGGUCGUAAAACUCUGUUGUUAGGGAAGAACAAGUGCUAGUUGAAUAAGCUGGCACCUUGACGGUACCUAACCAGAAAGCCACGGCUAACUACGUGCCAGCAGCCGCGGUAAUACGUAGGUGGCAAGCGUUAUCCGGAAUUAUUGGGCGUAAAGCGCGCGCAGGUGGUUUCUUAAGUCUGAUGUGAAAGCCCACGGCUCAACCGUGGAGGGUCAUUGGAAACUGGGAGACUUGAGUGCAGAAGAGGAAGUGG
Molecule: ribosomal RNA, 583 nt
Filed under: Bacillus thuringiensis
Lineage: Bacteria; Bacillati; Bacillota; Bacilli; Caryophanales; Bacillaceae
Description: bacterial SSU rRNA
Rfam family: Bacterial small subunit ribosomal RNA
Source: RNAcentral